This 73-nucleotide transfer RNA is filed under the name Lachnospiraceae bacterium. RNAcentral's name for it is "tRNA-Phe". It matches the Rfam family "tRNA". From Rfam's summary of the family: Transfer RNA (tRNA) molecules are approximately 80 nucleotides in length. Lineage: Bacteria; Bacillati; Bacillota; Clostridia; Lachnospirales; Lachnospiraceae. The record is from RNAcentral.
GCCCAGGUAGCUCAGUUGGUAGAGCAGCGGACUGAAAAUCCGCGUGUCACUGGUUCGACUCCGGUCCUGGGCA